This 582-nucleotide non-coding RNA is filed under the name Fusarium verticillioides. Its description in RNAcentral is "partial contains small subunit rRNA, ITS1, 5.8S rRNA, ITS2 and large subunit rRNA". The stretch from base 203 to 356 matches the Rfam family "5.8S ribosomal RNA". RNAcentral also lists the same sequence under 2 other names. Lineage: Eukaryota; Fungi; Ascomycota; Sordariomycetes; Hypocreales; Nectriaceae. The record is from RNAcentral.
GGAAGUAAAAGUCGUAACAAGGUCUCCGUUGGUGAACCAGCGGAGGGAUCAUUACCGAGUUUACAACUCCCAAACCCCUGUGAACAUACCAAUUGUUGCCUCGGCGGAUCAGCCCGCUCCCGGUAAAACGGGACGGCCCGCCAGAGGACCCCUAAACUCUGUUUCUAUAUGUAACUUCUGAGUAAAACCAUAAAUAAAUCAAAACUUUCAACAACGGAUCUCUUGGUUCUGGCAUCGAUGAAGAACGCAGCAAAAUGCGAUAAGUAAUGUGAAUUGCAGAAUUCAGUGAAUCAUCGAAUCUUUGAACGCACAUUGCGCCCGCCAGUAUUCUGGCGGGCAUGCCUGUUCGAGCGUCAUUUCAACCCUCAAGCCCCCGGGUUUGGUGUUGGGGAUCGGCGAGCCCUUGCGGCAAGCCGGCCCCGAAAUCUAGUGGCGGUCUCGCUGCAGCUUCCAUUGCGUAGUAGUAAAACCCUCGCAACUGGUACGCGGCGCGGCCAAGCCGUUAAACCCCCAACUUCUGAAUGUUGACCUCGGAUCAGGUAGGAAUACCCGCUGAACUUAAGCAUAUCAAUAAGCGGAGGA